This 253-nucleotide ribosomal RNA is filed under the name uncultured bacterium. RNAcentral's name for it is "partial 16S ribosomal RNA". It matches the Rfam family "Bacterial small subunit ribosomal RNA", at positions 524 to 776 of the family's 1533-position model. The record is from RNAcentral.
UACAGAGGGUGCAAGCGUUAAUCGGAAUUACUGGGCGUAAAGCGUGCGUAGACGGUUAUUUAAGUCAGGUGUGAAAGCCCCGGGCUCAACCUGGGAAUUGCAUUUGAGACUGAAUAGCUAGAGUACGAAAGAGGGUCGCGGAAUUCCCGGUGUAGAGGUGAAAUUCGUAGAUAUCGGGAGGAACACCGGUGGCGAAGGCGGCGACCUGGGUCGAGACUGACGCUAAUACGCGAAAGCGUGGGGAGCAAACAGG